RNAcentral lists this ribosomal RNA (433 nucleotides) under uncultured bacterium. RNAcentral's name for it is "partial 16S ribosomal RNA". It matches the Rfam family "Bacterial small subunit ribosomal RNA", at positions 30 to 507 of the family's 1533-position model. The record is from RNAcentral.
AGCGAACGCUGGCGGCAUGCUUAACACAUGCGAGUCGCACGGGCAGCAAUGUCAGUGGCGGACGGGUGAGUAACGCGUAGGAACGUGUCCUGAGGUGGGGGACAACCCCGGGAAACUGGGGCUAAUACCGCAUAUGGGCUGAGGCCCAAAGCCGAGAGGCGCCUUUGGAGCGGCCUGCGUCCGAUUAGGUAGUUGGUGGGGUAAAGGCCUACCAAGCCUGCGAUCGGUAGCUGGUCUGAGAGGACGACCAGCCACACUGGGACUGAGACACGGCCGAGACUCCUACGGGAGGCAGCAGUGGGGAAUAUUGGACAAUGGGCGAAAGCCUGAUCCAGCAAUGCCGCGUGGGUGAAGAAGGUCUUCGGAUCGUAAAGCCCUUUCGACGGGGACGAUGAUGACGGUACCCGUAGAAGAAGCCCCGGCUAACUUCGUG